AUUUGUCAAAAAAUAAAUUAAGUGGCCAUGUACCACUUUCAUUUUGUAGUUUAAACAAACUUGAGCUCAUGGACUUAUCUUACAAUAACUUUAGUGGACCAAUUCCAUCAUGUCUUAUGGAAAGAGUUGACCUGAGCAUAUUGAAAAUAAGAGGAAAUAAAUUACAUGGCGUGCUACCUGAAAAUAUUAGAGAAGGAUGUAAGUUUCAGACAAUUGAUUUCAAUGAAAAUCAAAUUGAAGGUGCGCUACCUAGAUCACUAGCAAAUUGCCAAGACUUAGAGGUUCUUGAUGUUGGCAGUAAUCAUAUUGUAGAUUCAUUUCCAUCAUGGAUGGGUACUCUUCUGAAGCUUCGAAUUCUUGUGUUGAGAUCUAACCAACUCUAUGGCACUAUAAGGGAUCUUCCCAGGAGCUACCAACACUUCACAAGUUUGCAAAUAAUUGAUUUGGCCUCCAACCAUUUCUCUGGUGAUUUACAUUCCGAAUGGUUUGAGAAUUUUAUUUCAAUGAUGAAUAACAGCAAUGAUGAGGGGCAGAUAUUAGAGCACCAAACAAAUGCUACAAUGGCACCAUUGUAUCAAGAUACUGUCACUAUCACAUUCAAAGAUGCUGCUUUAAGCAUCACCAAAAUCCUUCCUGCUUUCAAAGUAAUUGAUUUGUCAAAUAACUCAUUUGAGGGUUCCAUUCCAAGUUCAAUUGGAAGGCUUGCUUCACUUCACGGACUUAACAUGUCGCACAAUAACUUCACGGGAGAAAUUCCAUCACAACUUGGGAACUUAACAAGGUUGGAAUCAAUGGAUCUCUCUUGCAACCAUCUCUCGGGAGAAAUUCCACAGGAGUUUGCCUCUCUAACUUCUCUUUCCUGGUUGAACCUUUCGUACAACAACUUGACAGGAAGAAUACCGCAGGGAAACCAAUUCUUGUCAUUUCCUAGCGGUUCGUUUGAAGGUAAUGCUGGCCUAUGUGGAAUUCAGCUUUCCAAGGAAUGUGACACUCGUCCAGAUUCAACCACCCCAAGCACAUUGGCUCCAGAACGCAAUACUUUGUGGCUGGAUAGACUUGAUGCCAUCAUUUUGUUCCUCUGUGCUGGCUUGGGCUUUGGCGUGGGUUUUGCAUUGGCAAUCAUAUUCGGUUCCUUUUGCCACAUAGAAGAAUGGCUUUGCAAGCAUUUAUAAUAGUAAUAUAAGUUUACUUAUUACUCUCUUAUUUUUUCAAUACUUCAACAUAAUACUCAUAUAGAUGUGUACUUAUGUUUGUCCAGUUAUGAUUGAUUUUUAAUUAGGAACUACUCUAUGCACGUUUUCAUCCACAUUCACACUUUUUCAUUUAUAUAGCACCUCCAUACAUUGUGUCUAGCAUCAAAAUUAAUAGUUUUCAUCACUUUCUCACAUACAUGUAUAAAUGGUCUACAUGGUGACACUCAUCAUGUCUAUAUACAUUAACUUAGUAAUUCUAUAUUAACAAUGACGUAAACUGGUGAUUUAGAAUCAUAUAUUAGUUUAUUUUUGGACAUUUCUACAUGAUGCACAUGCAUGACGAUAAUUAGAUUAAGAAUGAGGUGUUUACUUUAGAUUAUUUUUAAAAACGACAUAUAUGGGUAACUUAGAUACAAAUUUAGAAUGACAUUUUAAGUAAUGCUUUAUAAUGAUAGGCAUGAUUAAAUUGGAUGAAGAUCAUGCGUUUACUUUACUUUAUUUUUAUAAUGGCAGAGCUUAGUAAUUUAGAUAUAGGUUUAGAGUUUAUAAUGAUAGUGGUGGGUAACUGUUUUAGAAAAUAUAAUAAACCAAUGACUAUGAUUAAUAUAGUUUGCAUGAUUGAUAUUUGAUAUUUAUGAUUUUUGUGAGAAUUUCUAGGAUUUGUGUUUUUUUAGCGUAUCUCUUGAGAAUUAAUGCAGAGUCUCCAAUUGAAAAAAUAUGACCACAUUGCUACAAAACUAUUACCUUUAGCUACUUCUCAUUUGUUAAAUAUUCACACACAAUACUUAUAUAGAUAUAUAAUUAUUAUUUUCACCCGAUUGCGAUAGAAUUUAGUUGGUAAUUUCUCUUUAACAUUUUCAUCAACAUCUAUAAUUUUUAAUUUUUCACUUUGCAUCGCAGAUAUGCUCUUGAAUUUUUUUAAUGGAUUCUAAGUUUGAGCUAUCAUUUUAACAUAGAAAUUUAUAUUCUCAUCAUUUUCUCUAUAUCUUUAUAAAUGGUGAUACACAUCAUACCUAUAUACCUUAAUUAUUAUAUCAUAUACCUAUAGUGUAAGAAAUAGACGAUUUAGAAUCAUAUAUCGGUGUAUAUUUUAAUUAAGUGAUUUGGACUCAAAUGUAGGGUUACCUCAUGUUAUUUUUUUUAUAAUAGCACAUGUGUGUAAUAUAGAUGCAAAUUUAAAGGGGUCAUGUUAAGUUAUUUUUUAAGUAUUAGUGGUGGACAAUUUAGUUGCAAAUUUAGGAGGGUAUUUUAAAUAUUAUUUGUAAUUGUAUAAGUUACCCAUGCCCAGAUGAGUCCAUCCCAUGCCCAGAUGAGUCCGUUUCCUCCCGAUCCGUUUUAGUCGCCUGAACGGCAGCUCAUGUUCCUCGCGAAAAGAACGGAGCGACGAUGGCUCGUGGCGGCGCUCCAUGGCAGUGGCACAUCGUAAAGGUGGAGGAAGCAACCAACAUGGGGUUGAACUGAAACAUUUUCAUGAUUAUUCCUCUCUGUGAAGUUAGUCACCUUGCAAUUUGCAAGCUAGAAACAAUAUCAUUGCAAGCAUAAUAAGGUACAACAUCUGCAGUGUUUCUCAUGAAUGUGUGGAAUGGGCCGCCGGACACGAUGUCCACAAAACGGUCAGGAAUAAUGCACCAAGUAGCAAUGUGCGGGCGUCGUAUAUAGAGCAGGUUGGGUGUAACACCUUGAGUGUUAAUUUGGGCGGUUUCACCACAUUGGGAUUUGGAAAGUCCGGUGUCACUGCAGUCCACCUCGUCCGGUAGCACGAUUACACCUGCCUGACGAGGAGAUGGUGCCGCUACAUGUGCUAAGGACGUCGAGUUGUCGAGGUCCCGGCUAGACACGCGACUCUCUCUCCGUGCAGCUGUUUCCCUCACCAGUCGUUUCCCUCUCCGGGCAGUGGUGAUCUCACCCACCGGUGCAGCUCCAUGCCGCCAUUCCGCCCGCUGCCCACAGUGAUGGGAAACAAGACGAGCAGGGAAGAGGGCACCUCCAUUAUUGAUUCUGUCAGCCACUGAUAUUCUCUCACUACUAGGGAAAACGCCAUUAGUAUCGGUUGGGAACACCCCUUUAGUAUCGGUUUCGCAACUGGUACCGAUAGUUCGGUACUAGGGAUAUUAAAAAAUAAAAAAAUUGAACCCCCCACCAUCGGCCCCCGCCAGCCCCGGCCUCCCGUCGCCCUCCGCCUGCCCCCUACCGUUCCCCUCCUCCACUCCCGCCGCCACUACCGCUCUCGCCCGCCUGCCCGCCCGCCAUCGCCGCCGCUGAGAGAGAGAGGAUAAGCUGUGAGAGUUGUGACAAGCUAUGAGAGGAGAUGGGAGGAUAAGGCGCGGCCGGUAGUCGGGGGGGGGGGAGCGGUGGAUAAGGUGGUGGACGGAACCUUUUAGUACAGGGUGGAAGGUCCACCCGGUACUAACCCCCUUUAGUACCGGGUGGAGCUCCCAUCUGGUACUAAAGUGGGUCACGGAGAGUUUCUCGGGGAUUAUCCGAUAGACCUGGUAUUAAUGAUCACAUUAGUACCAGGUCAAAAUGCAACCAGUACUGAGUCGGGAUGAAUUCUCAGUUUUCUAGUAGUGUCUGUAUCCAAUCAAAUCCAAUCAUAUUGGCUGGGUAGUAGGAGUGGGCGAGCCGUGGCCCAAGAUUAUCCCACUGCUAAAAUAAUUAAGAAAAAACUAAUCUUGUUGCUUUGCAACGCGUCCUAAUUUUUAAAAAGGACCACAUGAGCAUUUCUCUUAUAAGUGGACUCUUAGGUAGUUUUACCUGGAGACUUUAAAAGGAGCCUCCAAUUAGUAAUAGUUACUGAAUUUUAUCAGCGAUUUUCAAAGAGAGUUUUUAUUGAGGUAAUAAGAAAAAGUUGUGAUAUCACUUAGGCCUCAAAGAAAGUUGUGAUACCACUCUCCUUCUAGUUUUCUUUAUAUUUUUUUUUGUUUCUCAUGUGUACUGCAUGAGCAAUAAAAUUUAGGUAUGGUCUCCCUCCCGACUUCUUCCUUUAAAAUUUGACAUCGAAGGGUGCGGAUUCUUCAUUUCAAGCGUUUCUUCUCAUUUUUGUUCGUUUUCUUUUCUUUUCCAAUUGCAGCUUAAUUUUCUUUUCAGCCCAUUCUUCUUUAUUUUAGGUGUGCGGAUUCUUUUCUUUUCUCUUUCUUCCCGUAUGCUCCUCUUGACCUUCAAUAUGCCUAACAUGUCACACAAUAACUUCAUGGGACAUAUUCCACCAGAACUUGGUAACCGUUGACGGUUCUUAUCCGAUCGUCAACUCUAAUAAACAACAAUAAAAUAACAAGAAUCAAACUAGAGAUAGAGAUUUAACUCUCAUCAUUUCCACAAGCUUGUGUGAAUCACUAUUGACAGGAGAUCGCGUCUCCAUGGGGGAAAACAUACUAAACCCAUGAAGAAACACACACUUCAGCCUAUCCUGAUAGAACAACACGUGACAAGAAGGGUCCACAUGACAUACCAAACUGCCUUAACUUGACGCGGGCCCAUUCUUUUUUAUUUCAGGUGUGCGGAUUCGGAUUCUUUUCUUUUCUUUUUCUUUCCAUAUGCUUCUCUUGACCUCUUGGUUUUUACUACUACAAUAUUACUACACUAGUGUGAUCAAGAAGUAUCUUGAAGCUUAGUUAUCUAUUAGUUAUACAUGACUUGUUACCUAGUUGUCAUAUAUGAGUUGUUAUCUAGUUGUCAUAUUAGUUGUGAUAGUUGUCAUAUAUGAGUUGUUAUCUAGUUGUCAUAUUAGUUGUGAGUGAGUUGUGUAAGACUUAUGAGCCUAUAAAUAGAGGCAAGCCUCGAGUUUGUAACUUGAUUUUGAUGUACCCACUACCUUAUGAAUAAUGAAUAGAACAUGUUCUACCCUUUAGAUCUUGAACUAGAUAUUGUACCCUAAGGGCUUUGGAUUAAAUUCUUGCUAUCCGUGGAUUCAGAUUCGACUUUUGAUCUAUCUUCGUCUCUAAAACGAUAUCCAGCUCAGCACGUUAAAAUGGUUCCUUCGACACUUUGUGCUGUUUCUACCUAUUAGCAUAUUGGAGAGGUUUCUUGAAUACUUAUGCUAUCUACUGUAACUUAGGGGGCGUUUGGAUACCAGGGACUAAACUUUAACCCUGUCACAUCGGAUGUUCGGAUGUUAAUUAGGAGGACUAAAUAUAAGCUAAUUACAAAACUAAUAGCAGAACCCCUAGGCUAAAUCACGAGACAAAUCUAUUAAGUCUAAUUAAUCCAUCAUUAACGAAUAGUUACUGUAGCACCACAUUGUCAAAUCAUGGACUAAUUAGAUUUAAUAGAUUCAUCUUGCGAUUUGACCUAGGGGUUGUGCAAUUAAUUUUAUAAUUAAUUUAUGUUUAAUACCCUUAAUUAGUGUCAAACAUCCGAUAUGACGUGCUAUCUCUCAAACACCCCCUUAAAAACCAAAAGGGAGAUUUUUUUUCGUGGUUCUCCUUCCGGUCCGCUCGAUGACCCUCGCUGCCGCGAGAGUUUUCUUCCGUGCGAUACAGCUGAUUUCCUUCCAGCCGUCCCUCCGCUCCUCCCCUCGCACGGCCUACGAAAAAAUCCCUCCGCUCACUCGCCCUGCGCCGUCCGUCCGCAUCCUCCUCUCGUCGCGCGCCUGCGCCGCCGCCGCCACCCGCCCUCCUACUCUCCUCCCGCGCCCGGGGCCGCCCGUCCUCCUCCUCCCUCUCCUCCGCCCUCCGCCAGUGGACUCCAUCCCCGCCGCCGCCAUGCGCCGCCACGCCGGAUCCGCCUCCGCUGCUUCGCUUGCGCCGCCGCCCGACACCGCGUGCCGUCCUCUGCCGUCUGGCCCGAGCCGCCGCUCCCGACCCCAUCCACCAGUGCUUUCGGCCCAGCCACUCGUGCCAAGCCGUCGGCAUCCAUAGGAAAGAUGGGAGAGGCAACAACACGGAGGCCUCCAUCGCCGCAAGCACGCGCCCUCAAGGUCUGGGUCAAGUCGACCUGAGUACGGUGAAGAUCCAGGUACGGGUUUCACAUGGCAGCCAGAUCCUCACAUCUCACCAUCAGGCAUCACAUGGCACCAUCAGGUCAUCGCCACCGCCUCUGCUUCCGCAUGCCCCAACCUAUGGUAUGACGGCAUCCGCGCAAGGGUGGUCGCCGCGGGCGCGUCGAGGAUGGAGAACAUGUGGGGAAAGUUGACGGCAGCACCCCUCCGUCCAGCUGAUUCGUCACCCCCUUCUUCCUUAACCGCCAAUAGCACAGGUGACCCUCUCCUCCAAUAUACAGGCUUGAACUUGUGAGCUGUUCUGUUUGUACGGACCUUUUCUUAUCAUGUUUGUCCUCCAAUAGACAGGCAAGAUUGAACUAUAUUAUUCUUGUUGCCAAAUGUAUGUCAAGCAGGCAAGCACAAACUGAAGUACCGAUGAGCUGACAAAUAAUUAAUUGCAUGUACAACUUUUCUGUUCUGAAACUCAUUUUGCUGUCUUUCCAGAUUGCGUGCUCAGGAAAUAAUUCCAAGGAUUACUUUGAUCGGCAUGGAGAUUUAAAGAGCAUCAGGAGACUCAAGUUAACCUUAUUUCUCUGCAAUAUAUCAGAUUGGAUAUUGGCACAUAUAUGAAUCAGGUUGGGUUGUCUGAACCUAGAAUCCCCUGCUUCUCAGACUCGAGGUAUACAUUAUUGCAUGUAAGAACAACAAUUGUCAAGUGUGGCAGUCAUAUUUUGAUAAUCUGUAUUUUUUGGAUGAUUGAAUUAUGAUGAAGUCUUCCACAUAGUAGUGAUGAAAAAUCUUCAGAUGUGAGGAUUUCAGGUUUAAAAGCUUCAAGGUUUAGGCUUUUCUCUUUAAAAUAAAUCUUUGGCCUCAAAUUCAUAAUAUUGGUAAAGACGUAAAGUUUAGGGUAUGCAGACUCAAAAUUCUUGCAUUAGAAAUUUACUUGACUCGGAAUAUUUUGUGACUUGUGGUUUAGAUUGCUAUCAGUUAAGGGGGAAGAAAUGGUUUUAAGAGAACUUCCCCCAGAAUGUUGUAACUUCGAUUCAAUACAUAGGAGUGCCUCCAUGAAAUGGUAUCUCCAGCUUGCAUAAUUUUCUUUUGGUAGUAUGGCUGUUGAUGUCUUAAUCGAUUCUACUAAUUCUCAGUGUUUUACUUGACUUAUAUAUCUUGCUUUUUUUGGGAAGCAACAUGGUAUGCAAUCGCAAUGUAGAUAUUAACUGGAAAACAUUGUUGAUAGAAUUCAGCCAGAAUCUCCUCAUAUUGUGCUAGGUUACAUUGUUGGAUUAGCUGUAGUGUAUUCAUUUAUUCUCACUACCAUUUCAUCACCUUUGUGAUAUCUAAAUUGUUAAUUAAUCAGAUUAAUCAAGGGAGCUACAUGCUAUGCAUUUUUAAUGAAGAUUUAAUGACUACAAUUUUGAGUUUUUGACUAUUUUGUUGUUUCACAGGGAACUGGAACUUUUAUAAUAUCUCUUCUCCAUAUGAAUUAUUUGAGUACCACAAUGCUAUUGCAAUUUUGUCUCCUGCACUCAUGACUUCCACUUGGUAGCUUUUGGGUUCCUUAUUAAUUUGUUAAUUCUAUGUAUCUGCUGGAGGCACACACUAACUGACACUAACUGACGAUGCGGCUCCAGUAUGUUAUCAAUGGUAGCUGCUGAAUGCACACACUCUGUGCUAAUUUUCUAAUUAUAUUCCUGUCCAUCUGUUGGAGCUGGAGCUAUCAUAUCUGAUACUUAGGAAGACGAAUAAGCAAUAAAAGAUUUUAUUCUUAUGUGGUAAGUUUCUACAAUUCCAUAGAUAUGUCUACUCGCAGCUUGAUUCUGCGUAUUAGUUGGUGUCAACACCGAACAGUCCAUAUUAUGCUGCUUUUGACAAUUUAUUGUCACUUCAUAAUCAUGGUGGCUUUCUCUGAAGUUGGAGGUUCAGGUGGUACUCCUAGACAGAAUCCAACUGAGCCAAACUCCUCGAAAACAAUAUUGUUGGCAAGGGUAUGCAUCUGCCUAUCAGAUUUCAUUUUCUUGGUUCUUUCUCGUUUUCAUAUGUGAUAACAUAGUAAAUAAUUCUCUACAGAGGUGCCAUCAAUCCCACAAGGGGCGGUGCUGCUGGUCAUCCUCACCAGGGCUGAUUCCGCCUCCGCGUUCAUGCUGGCCACCACGCAGCAAGGUGAGGGUGCUGCCAGCGAUGCCCGUGUUGUGUUCGACAGAUUGUGUCAGCUUGUCAAUUGGAUCAAUUUCUUUGUUUUUGGUAAGUAAGCCCAGCGUUAGAUAAUUUGCAGUUGUGCAAACAGAUUCAUGUAGCCUUAAAAUAUGGAGGCGUUUCUAAAGAACCCAUGCUGCUCCACUGCCGACAAAUGACCGCUUCAGGUCUGUUCAUGAUAAUACUGUAACUUCUUAUCUGUAUGACUUUUUAUUGUUAAAUAUGGGAAGAUAGAUACACGUAUUCUAUUUAACAUACGGAUAUGAGAUGCUAGAUACAUGGUGGUGAACUUGAGUGCUUUUUUUUAAAGAAUGCUAUAUGAUGUGUUGGGGUUUGGUACAACAGUUGGUUUCUUUUUUUGGUUUGCCUUAUUUCUUUAUCUUGAAGUAAACUUUUGCCACUGAUUACAUGCCUUUUUUUCUCUUUACCCAUGUGGUACUUUCCUCUUUUGGGUGUUUGAAGAGAACGAUUUUCAGGAAAAUAAGUCUUGUCAACAAUAAUGACAGCCAGCUGUGUUCCACUAUAUCUCGGAAAUUUAAUUUUCACAUUAAGGAUUCUGAUCUCUUGCAAUGCUCUAGCUAGCUCUGUGAAGACAGAUGCCAUUAAUUUCGUUGUUUCAUGACUGUAGAGCUAAUGGCUCAUAUGUAUGGAUCAAGGAAAUUUAAUUGGAAUUGACUUCUUGAAAAUUUGAAGUUCUUUUAUAUAUCUAUGUAUUGCACUUUGCUAAAUCUAAUAUGAAUAUAGAAUUCUUAUUUACUAAGUUACUUAUAAAAACGUGCCUGACAUAACUCUAAGGUUAAUUUGAUUGAGUUUGGCUUUUUGAUUCAAAUAAUGUAGGUUUAUAUGUGGUGCAUCCAUCUUUAUCACUUAUGGAUAAUAUAAUAAUAAUAAUAAUAAUAAUGUACAAAACGAGGGUGAAAAAGGACAAUGGAGAAGACACUCGGGGGGACAAAGGAGAAGACACUCGGGCCGCAUUAGAGGGGAAGAUUAGCAAAGGUAAAAAAGACAAAAGCACCAGAGCUGCAUCUUAUUUUCUUCGCGAGAACUUAAAAGGGAUGAAAGUAAUUGUGCAUCCAUCUAAAUUUAAUAUGAAUAUAAAAUUCUUAUCUACUGUUUUUCAAAAACAAGUGUGUGUCCCACGUGCACUCAGAACAUUAUGUAGCUAUAAGAUCAGGUAGAUUGCGAUGCAUAUGGACCACAGCCAUAAGGAUACAUUUUGCACUACCACCAUACUCACACAUGCAUUUCAGGUACUUGACGUUAUUAGCUCUACGAAGUAAAAGUCCUUCACCUAGAACUGUAUGCUGAAAUCGUCAUACCAUACCUCUCAUACAUCCAUGUGGUUUGGAUUGUGGACUGACCAACACAUCAGCCGCUAUUAGCCAUUGGUGUUUUGACAGCACUCCAACUUGAUAGCAACUGAAACUGAAAGUCGGCCAAGGUGCUGGUUGUAUCUCAGCACCACUAUGAAGGUACUGGCUACAAACAACCAAGUUCUUACAUACAUCAGGUGAGUUUGUGUUUUCCUCUUAUUUUAGAUUCAGAGCUUUUAGUAUGUAAAUGAAGCAUUUUUACCAUUAACUUUUGCAUCCUAGAUGGUUCUAUGUAUAUUCUCCCAUCCAAUAGAUUCUGUUAUUUGUAUAAAAGGUGAAAUAUCUGAUCCUACACUUAUAUUACAAGCACGCUUAUUACCCUGCAUGGGAGGGAGGAAAAUGGUUCUAGCUUGGUCCUUCGAAUAGAAAAUGAGGAAAUAAUAAAUAUAAUUAAAGCUGACGAGUAUAUUAGGCUGUUAAUUUGAAAUUUCUAGCCUAAACCUCCAUAGAUAUAUUCAACGAACAGGCCAUCUUUCUUUCACUUUGCAGCUUCUGUAUCUACAUCUCAUUUACUGGCUAUAUUUGUGAUGUUGAGUUUAUUUUUCAUGUGCUCAUGUUCAGGCAGAACUUCUCCAUUAGGUCCUAUGAGAUUGAGGCGGAUAGGAUGGCGUCUAUAGAGACACUGAUGAACCAUUUGCAGGUGAGAAUUUGUUACUUUUCAGGCGUGAUUGUUGUGAAUUAGUAUCGGGCAAUGAAACAGUCUGCAUUUGAUGCAGGAAACUGCACUUAACCAUGUGAAGACUGCUGGGCUGCUAGGUGAUGGAUUCGGCUCCACACCAGAGAUGAGUAAACGAAACUUGUUCUGGGUGGUUAGCCAAAGCAGGCCAUUGUCGAGCGUUAUCCAUGCUGGUAUGGUUUGCAGAAUUGCAUGUUGUUAUUUCAGUUUUCUAAUUGUCAUUUGAGCUUGAAUUAAGAUGUACCCCCUAGCUUUUGACAUCAUGUGGCUACUCUCGGAGACAUGCCAACAGUGUGGGGGCACAUAAUGAUUUUGAUUACAGCUUGUUUCCUUGGUGCUGGGUAUUGAGUAAUCAGUUGAAUGGAGUUUUCAAGUUGUUUGACAAUAAAUGUGAAAGGAAAGGUCCCUGGUCUUUUGUGCUGUUUGACAAUAACUUUUUGGAGGAGCGUGGUUAUAUGUCACUUCAGGCAGUUUGCAGACUUUAAUAAUUGAUACGGAUACCCUCAUUGAACCUCUUAAUAUAUUUUCUCAUGUUUCCUAAAAGAUAUUAUAAGUUUGUGUUUUGUGAGCUUAAGGCAGCCCCUUCCAUCUGGAUUCUACUGAUACGUGUUCUGAGUUUGCUUGUCUAUUCUGCUGCAGGGGUUAUAUUAAGGCAGCCCCUUCCAUCUGGAUUCUACUGAUACGUGUUCUUAUUUGCUUGAUUGGUGAUAUGCUAUAUAUUCUUGGCUGGUCCCAUGCACUUAUUGGUGGGCACAAAUUUUUAUGACAAACUUAUCAUUCGGAUUUCCUUCCUGCUUAAUUAGUUGGCAGCCUUCUUGUAUGUAUUAAGGGGUAAAAUAAAGUUGAUAUGGAACUGAUAGGAUUGGUAAAGAAACGAAAAAAAGAAGACAGUUUAGUAUACAAGUCCCUAGCACACAAGUGUUUUCACAUACACCAGUUAACUUUACAUUCACCUUUAUCAGAGUGCACCGAUCUCCAUUCUUGAGAACCAUGAACUGGCGAGCAUUGUGCUGGAUUACAAAAGGGAGUGUGGCCGGGAUAGUGUGCUGCAGUCACACACUACCGUGCGCACUGAUUGCAACAGCGAGUCUGGAGAAACAACCUUGCACUGUGAGCAUCUGGUGAGCCUUGAAUCAGGUCCGACCAUGGUGAAAGCCCGGACCAUGUGGAGGCCGAGUCUGGAGAAACAACCUUGCACUGUGAGCAUCUGGUGAGCCUUGAAUCAGGUCCGACCAUGGUGAAAGCCCGGACCAUGUGGAGGCCGAAGGGAACCAAGGCCCAAGAAACUGUGAUUCCAUCUUCAUUGUGAACUGUGUGAUGUUCCAAAUGGUGAUUUUGGCAGGAAAAAUUGGUAAAAAUCAUUGUGGCUAUCAGCAUCCUCUAUUGGAAGCAAAGCACACUAGGCAUACAUGAUGCUUUGUUAUAAUCUCAUACCAACGUGAGACCUAAGCUAAUUUAAACAUAAAGUGUCUGAAGAUAGAGGAGAUAUAAGGGUGCCAACGAUGGUGGUGGCGAGAAGUGGAGAUCGAAGAGGAAAGAAGCCUCCUGUGCAUGGUUUGUUGUUUCUAUUUUUCCUUUGAUUUCUUCUUCUUCCUAUGACAAAAUCUUGGGUUGCACAAAUGGUUGUUGUAAGUAUUGAUUUGUAGCUACUUCUGUAUGACGGGGAGCAGCCAUAUUCGUUCAGAGAAUUAAGCUCGUAUAUUGUAUUUAUUGAUAUUUAAUUUGAUAUUCUUCUCCUGGCUGAUAAAGCACGUUGAAACUUGGUAUCUGGGCCAAUGCCGACCAAUUCUUGGAGGAAUUUUGCAGUUUUUUUUGACUCGCAUAUAUUUUUUUUGACUCUCAUACAGCUUGGCGUGACCGAUGAGAGGUUGUGACAUCCUAUCAUGUUUUCUGUAGAAGUUGACUGAUCAUAAAGGAGAACAAAUUAUAGACCAUAAAGGAGAACAAGUUGUAGUUGACUGACCAUAAAGGAGAGCAAACUGUAGUUGACUGACCAUAAAGGAGAGCAAACUGUAGUUGACUGACCAUAAAGGAGAGCAAACUGUAGUUGACUGACCAUAAAGGAGAACAAAUUGUAAUAACAAUUGAAGAUUCCGUAACUAUGGGGGCGUUUUCUUCCACUGACUUAUUUUUAGCAUGUGUCACAUCGAAUGUUUAGAUACUAAUUAGGAGUAUUAAAUGUAGACUAUUUACAAAACCCAUUACAUAAGACGAAUCUAAAUGGCGAGACGAAUCUAUUAAACCUAAUUAAUCCAUCAUUAGCAAAUAUUUACUGUAGCAACACAUUGUCAAAUCAUGGACUAAUUAGGCUUAAUAGAUUCGUCUCGCCGUUUAGAUUCGUCUUAUGUAAUAGGUUUUGUAAAUAGUCUACGUUUAAUACUCCUAAUUAGUAUCUAAACAUUUGAUGUGACGGGUGCUAAAAAUAAGUCAGUGGAAGAAAACGGGACCUAUGGUUGGGGGCAGAUAUCCCAGUUCGCUGGUCUUCCUCUCGAGUCAACGACCGGAAUGUGUGGACGUUCAGAGCAACCAGAGAACAGAAUAUCUACACACGAUUGAUUGGAAUUUGGAAACUGCAUACCAGUAGCGCAAUGGCUCCUGCCAAGGAUCGCCUCCACAACCUUCUGGUCCUGCUCUUGUUCAUAGGUUGCCUCUUCAUAGAUGCUGCCGCCAAGCCUAACACCACAGCGCCUUGCCUCCCGGAUCAAGCUUCUUCCCUCCUCCGGCUAAAAGCUUCCUUCAUCGGUGACAACCUACCAUCAUGGCAAGCUGCAACAGAUUGUUGCCACUGGGAGGGCGUCACCUGCGACAUGGCCUUUGGAAGAGUCAUUUCUCUUGACCUCAGUGACAGUGAGUUCCAACUAGUGAGCAGGCGUCUUGAUCCUGCGCUCUUCAACCUCACCUCUCUCAGGAACCUCAGCCUUGCAACUGUUUACUUCAUUGGAAUCUCGCUCCCGGCCUUCGGGUUUGAGCGGCUCACGGAUAUCAUUUACCUCAACCUCUCUAAUACCUAUUUUACGGGUAAGAUCCCAAUUGGAAUUGCGUGCCUCAAGAACCUUGUGACCAUUGACUUGUCUUAUGAUUACGAAUUGUAUUUUGAACGGCCAAGUUUCCAAACCAUCAUGGCAAAUAUGAGCAAUCUGAGGGAGCUUUAUCUUGAUGGUGUGGGUUUACAGAACAUCGGAUCGAAUUGGUCCACUGUUUUAGCAGACUCUGUUCCCCAGCUACAGAUUCUUAGCUUGUCCCGCUGUGAUAUAUCAGGUUCGAUCCACCCUUCAUUCUCAAGGCUUCGCUCACUUACGGUGAUCAACCUCAGAUACAAUGAUGGACUCACCGGCAAAGUCCCGGAGUACUUUUCUGAACUAUCUUCCUUGACCAUUUUAGACAUAUCAGGAAAUCAAUUUGAAGGGCAAUUUCCAACAAAAAUAUUCCAGCUAAAAAGUUUGAGGACGCUUGAUUUGUCCGGUAACCCCAUGCUUUCUGUGAGAUUAAAUCUAGUAGAGACCAAUUUCUCUUAUGACACGUCAUCCUCGUUUGGCAAUCUGGAGUCUUUAAAGACAUUGGGGCUUAGCACGAUGGGCAUUGAUAAUGAACUCGCCUCUUUGAUAUCUGAGCUUCCAGCAUUGGAUGACCUGCGACUCUUUGGGUCAGGUUUGGAGAACCCGGUAUUAUCUUGGGUCAGCAAUCUUACCCAAUUGACAAACCUGCUGCUUGAUGGUUAUGACUUCUCUAAAUCGGUUCCCACUUGGAUCGGCAAAUUGACAAGGCUGGAAAGUUUGACGAUACGGGAUUCCAGUUUCUCCGUGCCAAUACCAUACCAGAUUAGAAAUCUUACUAAAUUGGCAGCGCUGGAGUUCUAUAGUUGCGACUUCUCGGAGCAAAGAAUGCCAUCAUGGAUAGGCAAUCUUACAAAGUUGACUUCUUUGAUCAUUGGACGUUGCAGUUUAUCUGGGCCAAUACCCUCAACAAUUGGGAACCUGAUCCAACUUGAAGAGUUGGCGUUCUGGCAUACUGACAUCAGCGGUGAGACUAUGUCCCAGUUACUUUCUUUCUAGAUACCUCCUUUUAUUUUGCAACUGUAGACAGAUCAUACACCUACUAUAUGACACGUCAUGCAUACACCGUUAAAAAAAUAAAAAUGAAUUUAAGUGAAGAAGAAAAUUUAACACUACCAAAUCAACAGAGUGACCUUCAGAAAACAAGAAAAAGGCUUUGGCUACUAAUUUUCGGCAAUGUUGAGAAAAGAAAAACCCUGAUAUUUUCACUUUGCGUCUAUGACCAAAUUUCCAUAGUUUAGCAGUUUGGAAGGUUAGAUGCCUUUAACACUAGUACACACGAGUCACGACUCAGGUCUUCUUUUCCUUCUUUUUUUCUCUCUUGACAUGAUUCAUUUCAGAUACUAUAUAAUACAGUAUUGGUCCGUUUAUAAAUAUACCAAGGAAUAUUAAUUUUUUUUUCGGACAGGCCUUUUUUAUUAUUUUGACCAGAUUUACAUGUAAAUGUUCUCUAACGAGAAAUCAACUUUAGUAUAUAUCAUUUGUAGAUCGAAACACUGGAUCUGUAAAAUAUAUAUUGAAUAUGUUGUGUUAACGUUGUUCGACUUUCUCCGGUCUAAGACCUCUUUGGAACAAAGGAACAACAAAAGAAAGGACUAGGUUUUGAAAAACCUGAGCGUGGUCUCUCUCUCCCUCUCUGUGACCAUGUUCGCGCCGUCACAUUGCUUUUUUUUUUUGGCUGAGCGUCGGUUUUCGCACUUGGCAAAGUCUUUGCCAAGUGCCCAAUAAAAAACACUCAGCAAAGAAACUUUUGCCAGCACUGUGUACGCCGUGUGCUGUAUGCCGAGUGUAACACUCAGCAAAGGCUUCGCCGAGUGUUUUUUGGCCUUUACCGUGUGACGUGGACACACGGCAAACUUCCAAAUUCUGGUAGUGUCUCAAACCUAAGCGUGGUCUGGAUUUUCUACUUGUUAUGAUUUGUGAAGGAAGUGGACCCUUUCUUGUGGAAUUGGAAUUGGAUGGUGCAUUCCCAAAUUCCAAAAUCCAAACAGUACUUUCCUUUCCUCCGGAACACAGGUACUUCAGUGUCCUUGCCCCGUCAGUGUGGUUGCUUCUUUAGGCUAGUCUCAAUGCACAAUUUUAUUGCACUGUUAUCAAAGCUGCAAACUUGGUAACUGUGCCUGUUAGAUUUUAUGGGGAUGAAACUUGUCUCUCAUUUCAUGAAACUCCAUCCUCUCUCUCCUCAUAAAGAGCUUGUCAAAUCAGAAAAAUUACUGAUGUGGUAUAGAAAUUAAUGCUGAUUAAACUUUUCAUAAAACUCCCACUGAGACUGGCCUUAGAUUGCAGCAACAUUCUGAUAUGUUUAGCCCCAAUGUAAUGAGAUGCUAAUUUGUUUCAAUUUCAUACUGGCGCUUUCAGUGUAAAAAAGCAUUAAUAAAGUCUGCUACCUUCUAACUUUUAGUCUGCAACAUUCUGACUGUUGGUAUUCUACCCUAACAUGCAGGAAAAAUUCCGAAGUCUUUGUUCGCUCUUCCAGUCCUGCAGCAGCUUCUUCUAAUUGGGAAUCAGCUUGUUGGCUCACUAGAAGACAUUCCUGCUCCUUUAUCGUCACCAUUGUGCUCCAUCGAUUUAAGUGGUAAUCAAUUGACAGGCCCAAUACCAAAAUCACUUUUUCAGCUCACGAAUCUUGAGCUACUCGGUCUUGGCUCGAAUAAAUUGACAGGCACAAUAGAACUUGGCUCUAUAUGGAGGUUGAAAAAUCUCACUUAUCUCAACCUGGGCAACAAUAUGAUAUCACUCGUAGAAAAAGAAGGUGAUACGAUAUUCUCGUAUUCCCUUAAAAUUCAGACCUUAUACCUUGCAUCUUGCAACCUUACAAAAUUUCCGGAACCAUUAAAAUAUCUUGACACUAUUAAAUAUCUCGACCUUUCUAAUAACCAAAUCGAAGGGGUCAUACCAAGUUGGGUGUGGGAGAAACCCCUGGUUAGGUUGAACCUCUCACACAACAUGUUUACUACUUUAGAGAAGUCUCCUACUGUUCAGAUGGCACAUUUAGCUUUUCUUGAUCUCAGUCCUAAUAGAAUUCAAGGAAGCAUACCAAUACCAUCAACUCCAUCCGACCUGAUUCUGUUGGAUUACUCAAAUAAUAACUUCUCUACCAUUGAACCUAACUUUGGCAGGUAUCUUACAAAUGCCAUCUACAUCAAUUUGUCAAAAAAUAAAUUAAGUGGCCAUGUACCACUUUCAUUUUGUAGUUUAAACAAACUUUGGCUCAUGGACCUAUCUUACAAUAACUUUAGCGGACCAAUUCCAUCAUGUCUUAUGGAAAGAGUUGACCUUAGCAUAUUGAAGUUAAGAGGAAACAAAUUACAUGGCGUGCUACCUGAAAAUAUUAGAGAAGGAUGUAAGCUUCAGACAAUUGAUUUCAAUGAAAAUCAAAUUGAAGGUGCGCUACCUAGAUCACUAGCAAAUUGCCAAGACU
This 16827-nucleotide long non-coding RNA is filed under the name Setaria viridis. RNAcentral's name for it is "long non-coding RNA (SVIR_LNC001257)". The record is from RNAcentral. Lineage: Eukaryota; Viridiplantae; Streptophyta; Magnoliopsida; Poales; Poaceae.